GUCCCUGUAGCACAAUGGAUAGCGCGUUGGACUUUUAAUCCAAAGGUCGUGGGUUCAAAUCCCACCUGGGAUG
This is a non-coding RNA of Trichonephila inaurata madagascariensis, 73 nucleotides long. Lineage: Eukaryota; Metazoa; Arthropoda; Arachnida; Araneae; Nephilidae. The record is from the annotation of a GenBank genome assembly.